This 524-nucleotide ribosomal RNA is filed under the name uncultured Archaeospora. Its description in RNAcentral is "bacterial SSU rRNA". It matches the Rfam family "Eukaryotic small subunit ribosomal RNA", at positions 569 to 1092 of the family's 1831-position model. Lineage: Eukaryota; Fungi; Glomeromycota; Glomeromycetes; Archaeosporales; Archaeosporaceae. The record is from RNAcentral.
AGCAGCCGCGGUAAUUCCAGCUCCAAUAGCGUAUAUUAAAGUUGUUGCAGUUAAAAAGCUCGUAGUUGAAUUUUGGAUUCUGCCGUUUGGUCCAUCUUUUAGAUGAGUACUGAUCGUGUAGGAUCUCUUUGCCUGGUAAUACGUAAUGCUCUUUAUUGGGUGUUGCGGGUAGUCAGGACUUUUACCUUGAAAAAAUUAGAGUGUUUAAAGCAGGCAUUUGCCGGAAUACAUUAGCAUGGAAUAAUAGAAUAGGACGUCGUUGUUCUAUUUUGUUGGUUUCUAGGACAACCGUAAUGAUUAAUAGGGAUAGUUGGGGGCAUUAGUAUUCAAUUGUCAGAGGUGAAAUUCUUGGAUUUAUUGAAGACUAACUACUGCGAAAGCAUUUGCCAAGGAUGUUUUCAUUAAUCAAGAACGAAAGUUAGGGGAUCGAAGACGAUCAGAUACCGUCGUAGUCUUAACCAUAAACUAUGCCGACUAGGGAUCGGACGAAGUUAAUUUUUAAAUGACUCGUUCGGCACCUUACG